UAUGCCUUGAAUCUAAAUUGUCAUGUGUGAAAAUCUGUUGACACUGUUCCCAACUUUAGGCAUUUUUCACAGUGACUACUUUGGCAUAAUACAUAGGUUCUGGGUCUUCCAUGCAAUGCCAUCAGGGCUUGUGGUGGAUUUUUGUAUAUGAAAUUUUUUACAAGUAAUGCCUUUGGGUGCAGCGUCCCUUACCGACAGCAACAGCCUAACAGCCCUCAUCAGGGAAGAGCAAUUAAAAUGAAUUCAUUAAUGUUUGUACUUCUGCUUGAAUGGCUACACAUUUGUUUGUGUUAGGUAAGACUCACUCUGUUGACUAAAGGCAUUAGUGACUCCAAAUGAGUGAUAAUAUGCUUGGCUAUCUCGGGUUGAUAUUUACAUAGCUUGAAUUUUACAGUAGGAAACAAAGCUGAGAUCAUGCUGUCACUGAUCCCCAUAAUCAACUCAAAUUAUCUUUUGAAUCAGAAAGUUAUUCUCCAACAUAGUAGAAACAGACAGAUACGUGGCUCCAGAAAUUGCAAGCUAUUUGUGUUUUUUGGAGACAUCGGCCACCAGGGCACCACUGACCGUAUACCUACCAGAAUGUUUAUGAAAGUGUCUCAGGAGAUCACACAUUUUAUAUUGUGAUCAAACAACAAGGUCCAAAACUUUGAUUCGUACUCCAAAAAGGCCUACAAAAAUAAUGAUAGCAUUCCAAAGCCAGAAAAAAGUAAUUGCUGUUUUUGUUCUUUUGUUUUUCUUAAGUUUCUCUUUUCUCUCUCUCUCUCUCUCUCUCUCUCUCUCUCUCUCUCCCUCUCUCUUUGCUUCUGGUAUGGUCACAUUCGAUGUAAGGGUUUUCCCAAAUAACUGAUAAUAAAAGUUUUAUUAUGCUCUCACUAUACCAUGGUUUAUUUCCACCACUUUAUUUAUGUCUUUAUUUUAUGCCACCGUUUGCUGUCCCCUUUCUAAUACUUACGUUUCCAUGGCAACCAGUCCAUUUGUAUGGACGAUGAAUCAUGGCAAAGUCACAACAAAUACAAUAAAAAGUCUCUUCGAUGUAGUGGUGAUGAGGUGAGGCCAGAGCCUACAAAACAGAAAAAAUUCUCACAUAUGUUUCUGGUACAAAAGGACAUGCCAGAAAAGAAUUGAAGUCUUCUCAUAAAUAUUGAAAGAUUCUGUAUCAUUGACCGGAGGGCGAAUACAGGAAGUCUGUAACAACAUGUUACAAGAAUUAAAGCAGGAAAGUGCCGUGUUUGUUUCACAGGGAGAAGGAUGAGUAUCCCCAGCACCAGGCUGGGAGGAGUGUCACAAAGCCCUGGAAGGAUUGCAGAGCUGUGUCACAGAGGGAACCCUCUUGUCAGCUCUUCUGGAAUCUUCUGGAAUCUUUGCCCCACAGCCUGGGCUGUCCCUUUUUCUGCCUCAGAGGCUAAGGCUCUUUCCAGAACCCCGUCAUCCCCCUGUGAUGGCAGCAUGACUGAGCAGUGGACCCGGUUCCUUCCCCCUGCUUCCUGCUUCUGCACACACAGCCAGUGUAGGCUCUGCCUGUUCUCAGUCCACCUGAAUUGCAGCCAAGCGUAGAAGUUAGAUGACAUUCCCAGAAUAGUCUUUGCCUCUUUUGCCAUCCCCGUGUACUACUAGGGAGGCCAACAUGGAAAAGAGUUGAAAGGAAGAGAAUGAAAAAACCUAACAAGUUUUGUCCCCGCCACCAACCACUGAAAAAAGAUCGGAGGACAAAGGCAGCUAAUGAAAAGACAAGAAUUGACAAAAACCACAGGGUCAUUUCCUGCAAACCUGAAGGGUUGCGAACAGAACCCUCCAAACGUGAACAGGAGCAGGACAGAGCAGAUGCGGAUCGUGAACACAACCGUGGGGCCCACACCAUUUAGCAGUGUUCACAGCAUGUCAGUGAUUUAGUCCUUCCCUUCCUCGCCUGUGAGUAGAAGAAAUGGGCGCACUUCAGUUCAGAGCCAGGACCUUGCAGGAGUCUCUACUACCAGAGAGAGAAUUCAUCAUACAAAUUUUUAAAUUACGGCAUUAUAAUUCAUAAUAAUUCACCUUUGUGAAUGGUCGGCCACAUUAAUGAAGCAGGAUAAUCAAGCUCAUCUUUUUUUCCUCUGAGUAAUAUUGGUUGCUUUUCUUCUUCUGGCUCAUCAUCUUUAAAUCUACCAUUUAUCUUUUUCA
Leopardus geoffroyi (Geoffroy's cat) is the source of this 2157-nucleotide long non-coding RNA. RefSeq lists it as uncharacterized. Lineage: Eukaryota; Metazoa; Chordata; Mammalia; Carnivora; Felidae. The transcript has 2 exons. The record is from RefSeq and is a predicted model, not a curated record.